RNAcentral lists this ribosomal RNA (468 nucleotides) under uncultured bacterium. RNAcentral describes it as "partial 16S ribosomal RNA". It matches the Rfam family "Bacterial small subunit ribosomal RNA", at positions 28 to 507 of the family's 1533-position model. The record is from RNAcentral.
GACGAACGCUGGCGGCGUGCUUAACACAUGCAAGUCGAACGGAAAGGCCCUGCUUUUGUGGGGUGCUCGAGUGGCGAACGGGUGAGUAACACGUGAGUAACCUGCCCUUGACUUUGGGAUAACUUCAGGAAACUGGGGCUAAUACCGGAUAGGAGCUCCUGCUGCAUGGUGGGGGUUGGAAAGUUUCGGCGGUUGGGGAUGGACUCGCGGCUUAUCAGCUUGUUGGUGGGGUAGUGGCUUACCAAGGCUUUGACGGGUAGCCGGCCUGAGAGGGUGACCGGCCACAUGGGGACUGAGAUACGGACCAGACUGCUACGGUAGGCAGCAGUGGGGAAUAUUGCACAAUGGGCGGAAGCCUGAUGCAGCAACGCCGCGUGCGGGAUGACGGCCUUCGGGUUGUAAACCGCUUUCGCCUGUGACGAAGCGUGAGUGACGGUAAUGGGUAAAGAAGCACCGGCCAACUACGUG